Molecule: long non-coding RNA, 297 nt
Filed under: Meleagris gallopavo (turkey)
Lineage: Eukaryota; Metazoa; Chordata; Aves; Galliformes; Phasianidae
Description: lncRNA (ENSMGAG00000021256.1)
Source: RNAcentral
UAAAGCGCCUUUAUGUUCCAUAGUGGCUGAUUCUGCUGGGGAAAGGGCUGCUUCUAUCUUUCUUUGUUUUUCCAGCUGACCUAGCGGGAAGCAGAGAUUAGAGAUUUGGCACCAGCUCUGUUAGAAGUGAAGGUGUGACUCACAGAAGCUUGGGGAUUCACACCAUCUUUGCAGAACUGCUGCGAGGGCUGGGCACUGAGGGCCUCUGCGCUGGCCACGUCUGGGACCAGUUUCCCUCUGAAGUGUAGAGCAACUUUGAUUCAAGUUACAGUCUCAGGCCUCAGGACAAAUGUGUGA